GCCGGGGUGGCGAAAUGGCAGACGCAGCGGGCUUAAACCCCGCGGGUGGCAACACCGUGAGGGUUCGACCCCCUCUCCCGGCACCA
This 86-nucleotide transfer RNA is filed under the name Chloroflexota bacterium. RNAcentral describes it as "Chloroflexi bacterium tRNA-Leu". It matches the Rfam family "tRNA". From Rfam's summary of the family: Transfer RNA (tRNA) molecules are approximately 80 nucleotides in length. Their secondary structure includes four short double-helical elements and three loops (D, anti-codon, and T loops). The record is from RNAcentral. Lineage: Bacteria; Bacillati; Chloroflexota.